UACAUACUUGUCUUAGUGUCACAACACGAAUGGGUUGAGACUUUCCAUCCUUCCCAUUGAAGCGGACAAGGUAUGUACCGGUCUAAGCAUUGUCAGUAUCCCUCCGACAAUCCAACGACCAGGAACCUUUUGGACAUAAUGGUUAUGUGAAGAAGGUCUCUGUAGUCUAACUCAUUAGAUUACUUCUUCAAUCGAUCCAUUGUCCAUGGAUUCACUAUUCAGGACUUAUAUCGUUUAUUGAGAUAGUCCUAAUUAGUAUCUUUGCCUUUUUUAUGUAUAAGAAUCAUCCAUACAUCGAUUCAUUUGUCCUGAAAGAUUUCUUCCAAAGAUUGACUUUCAGGGCAUAUUCCAACAGGGAGAAAGCAUGAUAUGAGAUACUCUUGCUUUUAACCUUCAUGAUAUGAAAUACUUUUGCUUUGGAUGGGUUGUUUG
RNAcentral lists this long non-coding RNA (432 nucleotides) under Malus domestica (apple). RNAcentral's name for it is "long non-coding RNA (MDOM_LNC008424)". Lineage: Eukaryota; Viridiplantae; Streptophyta; Magnoliopsida; Rosales; Rosaceae. The record is from RNAcentral.